Molecule: ribosomal RNA, 328 nt
Filed under: uncultured eukaryote
Lineage: Eukaryota
Description: partial 18S ribosomal RNA
Rfam family: Eukaryotic small subunit ribosomal RNA
Source: RNAcentral
CCCUUAGAUGUUCUGGGCUGCACGCGCGCUACACUGAAGCGUUCAACGAGUAUUCACCUUGCCCGGGAGGGUUGGGUAAUCUUUUGAAAACGCUUCGUGAUGGGGAUAGAUUAUUGCAAUUAUUAAUCUUCAACGAGGAAUUCCUAGUAAGCGCGAGUCAUCAGCUCGUGCUGAUUACGUCCCUGCCCUUUGUACACACCGCCCGUCGCUGCCCGGAACUGAGCCGUUUCGAGAAGACUGAGGAUUGCUGACUUGAGGCCUUCACGGGCUUCUAGUCGGUGAAAAUCAAUUUAAUCGCAGCGGCUUGAACCGGGCAAAAGUCGUAACA